Molecule: unclassified non-coding RNA, 1300 nt
Filed under: Bombus terrestris (buff-tailed bumblebee)
Lineage: Eukaryota; Metazoa; Arthropoda; Insecta; Hymenoptera; Apidae
Description: misc RNA ENSBTSG00005030570.1
Source: RNAcentral
UACCUCGAUAAAAAUUGUAACAUAAAAAUAGGAAUUUGUUGGGAACAUGAUACAUUUACACUGUACAUGUGAAUGUGUGUGUAAGCGUCAGAGGCCUUAGUUGGGACAAAAGACAAUAGUCAGUCGUUAGAAGCAUCUAGAAGAGUCGGUUGACAACAAGCGUGUGUGCGAGUAGGAUUUCAAGGUCUUUAGAGUAUAAGAUAAUUACAAUGUGCAAACAAACUCACGCGACACAUGACAAGAAAUCUAUCCACGACUGUGCGUCAGGAAUAAUUAACUUUAACAAAAGAAUAAACAUUGGUAUCUACCCUCUCAAUAAAUUAGGAAUAUUCGAUGUACUUAAGAAAUGUUUACCUACAAAACCAUAUAUUCAUUUACUAUGUUGUAAAACUAAGAAUAACAUCCAAAAUAUUGCGACGAAUCCAACACCUUUAAACAUAUAUACAGAAAUACCACAAACAAUUUAACCAGCUGCCACUUGAACGAAGAAGAUGAAACAAAACACUUGGAACAUAUUCAGAUGAGGAAUACCAAGGCGCGAUUCCACAAAUCCAUAAUGAAGAAACGUUAAGAAUUAGGAGGACCAAAAUAAUUCUAAGGGGGGAAUGUGACGGCUACCGCACCUCAAAUGACCCAGAUAGUCAUCAGAUUUUGUACACGACACCCACAACUUCCAACAUCGCCCCUCAGCGCCUAUACUUUUAGGAUAUAAAAGCCGAGCAUCUACCCAGAAAUCGCAGUCUUGACAAAUCUUGUUGACCCUCGGUUAUACUUCGGAAUUAUAUGCUAACGUUACAUAUUAUAAAUCUAUUGUAUUCUUGUACUUGAUCAAUAAAUAUUGCAAACGAAGAUACAAGAGUUGGAGAUCCUCCUCAUCUCAUCAUUUUUUUAUUUUCUUCUCACGAAUUUUACGUGAUACAAACAUAGUCGAGAAGCAAGAAGGUCACUGGUGAUCGUGGAUUGUUGAUUGUUAAAUAAGUUAUAUUGUUGAACGUCACCGAGUAUUUCUUGGGCACCUUACACCAAACACCAUCUCAUGUAUAUUAUACAAGUCGAAUGACACGAGUCUGAAUUAAAAUAAUAAAUUCAAGAAUCCAAAUAACAAACAGUUUUGUAGCGACACACGAAACGGAGAUAACUUAUCUCAAGCGCUCAUGUUGAUAGGCGCAUCAAUACAGAAAAUGAAAGUAACACGAGAAGUUAAAUUAAUUAUAACAAAUGAAUAUCCAUGACACAUUUCGUUGAUUUUGCAAGAAUAAUUACAAUAAUAAAAUUUUAUUCACUUACAUAAAAAGUCAGG